CCUACGGGAGGCAGCAGUAGGGAAUUUUCGUCAAUGGGCGCAAGCCUGAACGAGCAAUGCCGCGUGAACGAGGAAGGUCUUCGGAUCGUAAAGUUCUGUUGAAGGGGAAAAAGAGCGGAGAGAGGAAAUGGUCUCCGAUUGAUAUUACCCUUCGAGGAAGUCACGGCUAACUACGUGCCAACAGCCGCGGUAAUAAGUAGGUGGCGAGCGUGAACCGGAAUGAAUGGGCGUAAAGGGUGCGUAGGCGGACUGCUAAGUCUGGAGUGAAAGGUACCGGCUCGACCGGUACAGGCUCUGGAAACUGGCGGGCUAGAGAGCAGGAGAGGGCUGUGGAACUCCAGGUGUAGCGGUAAAAUGCGUAGAUAUAUGGAAGAACACCAGUGGCGAAGGCGGCCGCCUGGCCUGUUACUGACGCUGAGGCACGAAAGCGUGGGGAGCAAAUAGGAUUAGAUACCCUUGUAGUC
This 464-nucleotide ribosomal RNA is filed under the name uncultured bacterium. Its description in RNAcentral is "partial 16S ribosomal RNA". It matches the Rfam family "Bacterial small subunit ribosomal RNA", at positions 338 to 795 of the family's 1533-position model. The record is from RNAcentral.